RNAcentral lists this non-coding RNA (813 nucleotides) under Cornitermes cumulans. The record is from RNAcentral. Lineage: Eukaryota; Metazoa; Arthropoda; Insecta; Blattodea; Termitidae.
UAGAAGUUUUAUUCUUGCUUUUUUGUUCAGUGUAUGCUUGUUUUAUAUGUAAGUUUGUGCGUUAGUUUGAGCAAGGAUUUAAAUAGUUUUUGCUUUAUAUUGUUGAUUAGGUCUCAUUAGUUAUUAUUGGUUGGUCAAGUAUUCUUGUAUUUAGCAAUGCAUGUAGUUUCGGUUAAAUUUUGUGCCAGCAGCCGCGGUUAUACCUUGGAAGCGUUUGAAUGUGUUCGGUAUAGGUAGUUAUAUUAUUAUUGAUUUGUUUGAUUUAAUUUUUAUUAUUGUUAGGUGGAAUUUUUAUUGUUAUUAAUUUCUUUUAUUUAUUUGGAGACUAUGAAAUUCUUUUAGUAAACUAGGAUUAGAUACCCUAUUAUUUUAGAAUGUUAAUUGUUUUAGGUACCUGAGUAGUAUUAGUUAUGUUCUUGAAACUUAAAGAAUUUGGCGGUAUCUCAUUCCGUCCAGAGGAAUCUGUCUCGUUAUCGAUAGUCCACGUUGGACCUUACUUAGUUGCUUAGGUUUGUAUACCGCCGUUUAUUGAUUAUCUUUUUAGAGUUAUUUAAUUUUCUAGUUUCUUUAUUUUGAUUUAUUUCAGGUCAAGGUGCAGCUUGUUUCUAAGUGAAUGAUGGAUUACAUUGUUAUUUGUUUAUGGAUUAUUUGGUUUAAAUAUUAAUAUGAAAUUGGAUUUGGUUGUAAUUAUUUGUAGACUGUUAUUGUGAUAAAUGGUUCUGAGAUAUGCACACAUCGCCCGUCGCUCUCGUUUAUUGUUAAUGAGAUAAGUCGUAACAAAGUGGUUGUACCGGAAGGUGUAGCUGGAUUGAU